CUUUUUAGUACAUGUACUCGUAACGAUAUCCAUUCUUGCGACACGACGAGAUGCGCUUCUAUCGCUGACGAGGCCUUCGUGCCAAAUUGAGGAUAGGGUCGCAUCUUGGGCGUGACACUAGGCAAAGCCACCAAAUCGGUGCAACUGAAACUGUAUCGGUGCUGCCGAGUUUAGGUGACCAACUUUCUAUUGCUUCGUUACACAAAAUUAGAAUUUCCGAGUUUGAGUAUCGGUGUCAUCGAGUUGUGUCAUGGGACCGUUAGCCACCUUUUCGGUGUCACCGAGUUGUAUAUAUCGGUUCCACCGAGAUUCAGAAGUUGUUGCCUUUAGUGCAAGUCGGUAUCACCGAGUUCAUGACUUCGGUGUCACCGAGUUGGCCACUUUAGGUGUAACGGUUGGAUUUUGGGGAUAUCCUAUAUAUACCCCUUCACCCACCUCUCAUUCGUAGAGGAAGCACUCAGAACACACAUUUCAUUGCCAGAUCCAUUUUUCUGAGAGAGAGCCACCUUCUCAUGUGUUGAGACCAAGAUAUUCCAAUCCAAUCAUUUGAAACUUGAUCUCUAGGCUCCCCGAGUUGCUUUCCACCAAAUCAAUCUCUCCUACCCAUGCCUAUUCUGCGAGAGAGUGAUUUUGUGUUGAGGAGACUAUCUUUAGAAGUACAAGAGCAAGGAGUUCAUCGUUCUAUUGCAUCUAUUACCUUUUGGCAGGUGGUGCCUCCUAGAUUGGUUAGGUGUCGCUUGGGAGCCUCCUACUUCGUGUUGUGGAGUUGAACCAAGAUGUUUGUAAGGGCAAGGAGAUCGCCUACUUUGUGAA
This 813-nucleotide long non-coding RNA is filed under the name Hordeum vulgare. RNAcentral describes it as "long non-coding RNA (HVUL_LNC019363)". Lineage: Eukaryota; Viridiplantae; Streptophyta; Magnoliopsida; Poales; Poaceae. The record is from RNAcentral.